This 253-nucleotide ribosomal RNA is filed under the name uncultured organism. Its description in RNAcentral is "partial 16S ribosomal RNA". It matches the Rfam family "Bacterial small subunit ribosomal RNA", at positions 524 to 776 of the family's 1533-position model. The record is from RNAcentral.
GACGGAGGGAGCAAGCGUUACUCGGAAUGAUUGGGCGUAAAGGGUGCGUAGGUGGUUUUUUAAGUGAGAUGUUAAAGACUUGGGCUUAACCUAAGGAGUGCGUUUCAUACUGAAAAACUCGAGUGUGGGAGAGGAAACAGGAAUUCCUCAUGUAGAGGUGAAAUUCGUAGAUAUGAGGAGGAACACCAGAGGCGAAGGCGAGUUUCUGGAACACAACUGACACUGAGGCACGAAAGCGUGGGGAGCAAACAGG